UGCCUAACACAUGCAAGUCGAACGAGAAAGUCCCGCAAGGGAUGAGUAAAGUGGCGCACGGGUGAGUAACACGUAGGUAACCUGCCUCUAAGACCGGGAUAACCUGUCGAAAGAUGGGCUAAUACCAGAUAAGACCACAGUUCCCUCGGGGACCGGGGUCAAGGGUGGCCUCUGCUUGCAAGCUAUCACUUAGAGAUGGACCUGCGCACCAUUAGCUAGUUGGUAGGGUAACGGCCUACCAAGGCAAAGAUGGUUAGCUGGUUUGAGAGGAUGAUCAGCCACACUGGAACUGAGACACGGUCCAGACUCCUACGGGAGGCAGCAGUGGGGAAUCUUGGGCAAUGGGCGAAAGCUUGACCCAGCAACGCCGCGUGGGUGAUGAAGGCCUUCGGGUCGUAAAGCCC
RNAcentral lists this ribosomal RNA (404 nucleotides) under uncultured organism. RNAcentral describes it as "bacterial SSU rRNA". It matches the Rfam family "Bacterial small subunit ribosomal RNA", at positions 45 to 433 of the family's 1533-position model. The record is from RNAcentral.